RNAcentral lists this ribosomal RNA (253 nucleotides) under uncultured bacterium. RNAcentral's name for it is "partial 16S ribosomal RNA". It matches the Rfam family "Bacterial small subunit ribosomal RNA", at positions 524 to 776 of the family's 1533-position model. The record is from RNAcentral.
UACGGGGGGGGGCAAGCGUUGUUCGGAAUUACUGGGCGUAAAGGGCUUGUAGGUGGCCAACUAAGUCAGACGUGAAAUCCCUCGGCUUAACCGGGGAACUGCGUCUGAUACUGGAUGGCUUGAGUUUGGGAGAGGGAUGCGGAAUUCCAGGUGUAGCGGUGAAAUGCGUAGAUAUCUGGAGGAACACCGGUGGCGAAGGCGGCAUCCUGGACCAAGACUGACACUGAAAAGCGAAAGCCAGGGAGCAAACGGG